AUGAACGCUAGCGACAGGCUUAACACAUGCAAGUCGAGGGGUAACAGGGUAGCAAUACCGCUGACGACCGGCGCACGGGUGAGUAACGCGUAUGCAACCUGCCUAUAACUGGGGAAUAGCUCCCUGAAAGGGGAAUUAACACCGCAUAACACUAUUGAUUCGCAUGGAUUGGUAGUUAAAUGUAGCGAUACAGGUUAUAGAUGGGCAUGCGCGACAUUAGCUAGUUGGUGAGGUAACGGCUCACCAAGGCUACGAUGUCUAGGGGUUCUGAGAGGAAGGUCCCCCACACUGGUACUGAGACACGGACCAGACUCCUACGGGAGGCAGCAGUGAGGAAUAUUGGUCAAUGGGCGCAAGCCUGAACCAGCCAUGUCGCGUGCAGGAAGACUGCCCCUAUGGGUUGUAAACUGCUUUUAUAGUAGAAGAAACACAUCUACGUGUAGAUGUCUGCCAGUAUACUAUGAAUAAGCAUCGGCUAACUCCGUGCCAGCAGCAGC
This 497-nucleotide ribosomal RNA is filed under the name uncultured bacterium. Its description in RNAcentral is "bacterial SSU rRNA". It matches the Rfam family "Bacterial small subunit ribosomal RNA", at positions 29 to 518 of the family's 1533-position model. The record is from RNAcentral.